UGCUCGAGUCAAUGCCCAACAGAAAGAAGGCAGAGGCUAGAACAACUGGUGGAGGACCUGCACUGACGCAUGCAGAGGAGAAGGGCCUCACCCUGAACACUGGAAAGCAGGGGCUAAAGGAAUUUCUGGAGGGAGUUCAUCAGAACCAGUCACUCCCCAGGAUACAAGUGCAUUUGUAAAAUGGGAGCUGUGCAGUGCAGACACAGAAACCUACAUCUACAUGCAGGCCAAUAAGACGAGAAGAUAAAAGUCCAAGCUGGCUUCAGUAGUUUCGUACGGUCAGGGAGAGAGGCUGCAAUGAAAAGCGUUACACUAACGGGUUCACUGAAGAAAUGGAACUGAUGGUCACACAGAUUUAUGGAGGCACACAUCCAAACCUAGAUUGGACCUCCAGGAGAGACGAGUGUGGCCACUGGGACGUGCACAUUUAUGGACUUAAAGGCGAAAUGGGUCGUCAUUUGCCCCAGGGCCUUGUGAAGCUCUGGAGUCGCUUCAAGCGUUGGAGAAACCGGAGGAUCCAGCCGGAGCAGCCGGUGGGCGAAGGUGGUCCAGAUGGGCCUAACGGCGUCCACGUCCAUCCUUCACCCACUCCUCAGGUGGGUGACUCAUACACACCCCAUCCACCUUCUCCUCCACGCUCUCUUGUUUUUUGGUCUGCUGGUCCUUCUGUUUCCCCUUCACCCCCUCCUGUUCCUUGUUGCUUUGAUGUUCUUGCUUUUUCUCCUUCACCCUGUCCUACUCCUUCUUUUUCUUCUUCUUCUUUCUCACUCUCUUCUGCUUCCUCUGGUACUUGGUGCUCUGACAUCUUUCCCUUUUCUCCUUACCCUUCUCCUACUCCUUCUUCUUCUUCUUCCUCACUCUCUUCUGCUCACUCUGCUUCUCUGUGCUCUCCUCCUCACUCUCUCAUCUCCUUUUUCUUCUCCCUCGCCCUCCUCUGCUUACUCUGGUACUUGUUGCUCUGCUGUCCUUCCCUUUUCUCCUUCACCCUCUGCUGUUCCUAGUUGUUCUGCUGUCUUUCCUUUUUGUCCUUCACCCUCUCCUACUCCUUCUUCUUCUUCCUCACCCUCUUCUGCUUACUCUUGUCUUUGUUGCUCUGAUGCCCUUCCUUUGUCCCCUUUACCCUCUCCUGUGACGGAGAGAGUGAAGGAGCUCAUCCAGCAGCUCAUCUUCCAGGAGAGGUAAGGAAGACAGUGAUGAGGAGGGGGCUGCUCUUGGAAGACUCAACUGUGGGACACUGUUUCCUACAGUGAAACCAGUCUUGGAUUUGACCCCAGGGCACCUUUUUUGUAGUUUUAUCUCUAUACCAUAAGUUUAAAUGUUCAUUCCAACUUUGAGAACUAGCCUUUGCGUCUGGCUGGGCAGUUUUCAGGUCCCCGGCAGCGUCUGGCGCUGGGACCUUUCUUUCUUUCCUGGAUGAACACAAGUUUAAAUGUUAAUUUUUACCCUGAGAACUAGCCUUUGCGUCUGGCUGGGCGGUUCUCAGGUCCCAGGUAGCGUCUGGCACCUGGGCCAGUUUUUGCUGUUUUUUAUAUUUUAGCAUGGCGGUUGGAUGGACUUUUCUUUCACCCUGAAGGCUGAGUUCAGCGCCUGGCAGGGCCGUCGAUCCCCCCAUGCAAGUUGCCCUAGCGUCUGGCGGGGUAGCUAUUAUGUUUCCUCCACAGCGAUAGAAGGUCAGCUCAGUCACAGUGGCACUGGGGACACAUGUCGUCUCCCACUGAAGCUCCUCGGUGGCAGAUGACUGCAGUGUCAGGUGUUAUGGAGGAGACACAUGGCUGUCUGCAGUCCACAUCCUGCUCCACACUACAGGGAGCAGUGACUGACGGCUACUGACCAUUACGUCUGUCUUUCCAGUGGACAAAGGUUUAUUAGGAGAAGGAGACGAGGGAACCAGGAGAUGAGCAACGAGACAACCAAUCUGGACCAAGAGCCGGCAUUCCAAGCAGCCCGGACCUAAGCUGUCAAACCGAUCGCAGGAACCACAGCUGCACAAUUACGUUCAGUGCAGCUGUGGAGGCUGGAGAAUUGUGACAACAGAGACCAUAGGACCACCUGGAGAGAAGUUGUCACCUGUGUCUAUGGAGGCUCAAUGCAAUAACAUCCUGCAGCUCUUCGCUCUCUCCAGCCUCUGGUCCAGACAGAGGGGAGCCUCCCAGUCCUAAUCACAUAGAGGAAGUGUCUUUAUCACUGCUUUCUCUGUGCUGCUGGGUUUGGGAGACUCUUCACAUAACCAGUGGUGUUGGCCUCCAUCUGUAAACAGAAGACGGUCAAGACAAGUGGUUGUCAUAAAUACUGUGUGUGUGUGUAUAUAUAUAUAUAUAUAUAUAUAUAUAUAUAUAUAUAUAUAUAUAUAUAUAUAUAUAUAUAUAUAUAUAUAUAAUGUCAUCAAGAAAAUAAAAGAACUGCUUUGUCUGAA
This is a long non-coding RNA of Betta splendens (Siamese fighting fish), 2413 nucleotides long. RefSeq lists it as uncharacterized. The record is from RefSeq and is a predicted model, not a curated record. The transcript is spliced from 11 exons. Lineage: Eukaryota; Metazoa; Chordata; Actinopteri; Anabantiformes; Osphronemidae.